Molecule: long non-coding RNA, 3692 nt
Organism: Salvia splendens (bonfire salvia)
Lineage: Eukaryota; Viridiplantae; Streptophyta; Magnoliopsida; Lamiales; Lamiaceae
Exons: 3
Source: RefSeq, a predicted model, not a curated record
CCGAAUUAUAGGCACCAAUAAAAGGUUUGGAUAUAUGGUGAGGAAUAGUAGUUAAGUUAAACCGUAAGGUAUAAAUUUGAUACGAAAUGCCGAUUAGUCAAUUUUCGGCAAUUUCUUUUGUCCGUGUAAAAUCAUAAAUCGAAGCUAAGGGGUAAUAAUUUUAUAAAUUACAAAUUAUGGCCUAGAAUAAUUGUUGAUAAUGUGAGGAAUUGUUUUGGGCCAUUUGAAGGUAAUUAAAAAAAUUUCUAUCGCCGAUAAUUUCAGUUUUUAACGAAAACGAUCGGCGAAACUUUUGAAGAUAUAGACAGGAAUAAUUUUGCCUUAAACUAGAAUUUAAAUGCUAAAUGAUGAUAUAAAGAGUUCCUAAAUGUGAUAUCAUAUGAUAGGGCAAUAAAAUGUUACAAGAUAAUUAAUUUAUUUAAAAACUAACUAAAUAAUUAAAUAAUGAUUAGAAUUCUCUAGAGAAUUCUUUUGUCUAUCAUCAACUCCAAACCCCCCCUCAUUUCAGCCACAAGCACGUCCUCCCCCUCUCCAUGGAAGACCAAAAGCUUAAGCUUUUUAAUUUCCGAAUAUUUGUCAUUUAAUCGGUAAAUCGAUCGGGUAAUCUUGUAUCCGCCAGCAAAUCGAGCGAAGGAGCAUAUAGUGCGUUUUGAUCACAAAGGAGUGGAUUUAGAGGGUAGAGAAGUAUCAAGGUGAAAUAGGCUUAUGUUCAUAAGCCUGCGAGGUUAGAGUCGACAUUAUGUCAGUGGUGUUGCGCAGCUUUGCAUCUUUGGCGAGUCACUGGUGGUCAACUUGGUUUAGUAGUCGUGGCAUGUUAUGUAAUAGUUUAAUCUUUAACCUUCCGCUGGAUAAAUGUUAAGUUUUUAAAUGUAAUAGAUUUUAAUUAUGCUUUUAAGCUAAAAAGAAAAAGGAAAAAUUUCAGCACGGGUUUUCGAUACUGAAACGUGACAUCACUUAUUCGGUUGGUUACCUACCGGGUAAGGGGUGUUACAAGUUUUGGUAUCAGAGCCUAGGUUUAGGCGGUUCUGGAAAGAAGUGAUUCAGUAAAGUGGUUUACUGGUUUAAUUGUCUGUUAGUACCAGUGACUCGAUGCAGCUGCUUAUGUCUAAAGUGGAAAGAAGUUAACAAGGUACGGGACAUAGUUUCCCGUGUGACCGAGAAAGAUGUUAUAUGGGACUGGCCACCCCAUAUAGCUCUAAUCUCGGUAGCGUCGGUAUGUGUAAAAGAUUUUAAAAAAAAAAUUCAGGGAGGAUGGGUCUGAAAAUGUUGAUGAAAAGUAUGUCCUAAUGAAAGAUACUAAUAAAUAUAUGCAGAUUAUGAAAGAGUAUAAGUAAAAGAGAAGAAAAUGAGUUAAAGGAAUGAUAUGGAAAGAAAGUAAGUUAUAGACUAAGUGACCAUCAUGAUAUAAAAGUGUAACACGAAAAUUCACAAAGGUAUGUGGAUUGUCUGAUAUAAGAUGGAUUAAGAGUCAUAAAGUAAUAUCCUAUAAUGAUAAACAAAAGUAUAGAAAUAUGUGAAAGGAAAUGUGUUUGGCAAAAUGAUAAAUAUUGAUAUGAAAACAUAUGAAACUAUAAGGCAUUAUAUGAAUAAAACCAUAAAUGUGCGAAUGAGAAAAUGCGACGAAUAAGAAAUAAAUGAUAUGAUCUGAACAUGUGUGCCCCUAUAUGGAUUACAUGUGUACUUCGAAUCGGGCAAUAUGAGAUAUGACGUGAUGUGAUGGAAAUAUGAACUGAAUAAUCGUGCAAGACAAUAAAUUAUAUGAUUGGAAAUGUGAACUCCGUGAGAAUUAUGUGUGCGCUCGAAUACGAGCUAUAUAAAUGUUAGAACCGAAUGAUGAUUCAGAAAUGAAAUGGAAAAUGGGAAUGUAUGCUCUAAGCGAGCUGUAUAGUAUAUGAUAAGAUAUGUCUAAAAAUAUGAGUUUGAAAUUGAGCUAUAUGAUAUAAAAUGGUAUUCUGGUUGAAAGUGUUGUCUGUGAUCUGUAAAUGUGUUAGUUAUGGAUAAGAAUGAGUUUUGAAAAUAAAUAUGGUUGUUGAUGAAUACUGACUUGAUAUUUGAAUUAUGUUGUGAUUUGGUGGUUUGAUUUGAUAAUCUGUGAUUAACAUUGUAUCUUGUUGGUUUUGGGGAAGCACUGGUUAUAGAGAAAACGCUGCCCAAUUUUUGCUAGAAAUUGAUCAGAUAAAUUAAUACGAAGUUGUGGUAAAUAAACUGAUAAGUGAUAAUACAUGAAGAGAAUGAUGUUACAUGAUGACUUAAGAAAUGAAAAAGGGAAAAGAUAAGAAGUGUUGUGAAUGAUAAUAAAGGAAAACGUAAUGAAAUGAUGAUAUGUGGAAAGUGAAAUGCACCCUUCGUCGGCUAUAAGUGCCCGAAUAGGGACUAUGCAAUUGGGACUAUACAAUAUAUGAUGAGUAUGUGAAUUAUACAUAUGCGUGAUGAAUAUGAUAUGUGCGCCUCAUGUGGACAAAGAAAAGAUGCAAAUAACAUGGAAAUUACUAUGUAAAGAAAUGAUAAUGUGACAAAUGUGCUUGAAAUAUAUUAGAGAUAAUGAUAAUAUUAUUAUGUGAUCGCAAAAUGUGGCUAUGUGUUAAGAUGUGAUUAUGUGAUUUUGUAUGUCAUUCUGUGUUUGGUUAUGGAAGUGUGGAUACGCUAUGUAGAUGAGGAUAUAGGAUGUCGUGGAAUGGCAUACGUAUAUGCGACGCUUAUAGGAAUGAUGUAAACCCGAGGGAAUUUCGAGGACGAAAUUCCUUUUAGGGGGGAUGAGUUGUAACAUCCCGAAUUAUAGGCACCAAUAAAAGGUUUGGAUAUAUGGUGAGGAAUAGUAGUUAAGUUAAACCGUAAGGUAUAAAUUUGAUACGAAAUGCCGAUUAGUCAAUUUUCGGCAAUUUCUUUUGUCCGUGUAAAAUCAUAAAUCGAAGCUAAGGGGUAAUAAUUUUAUAAAUUACAAAUUAUGGCCUAGAAUAAUUGUUGAUAAUGUGAGGAAUUGUUUUGGGCCAUUUGAAGGUAAUUAAAAAAAUUUCUAUCGCCGAUAAUUUCAGUUUUUAACGAAAACGAUCGGCGAAACUUUUGAAGAUAUAGACAGGAAUAAUUUUGCCUUAAACUAGAAUUUAAAUGCUAAAUGAUGAUAUAAAGAGUUCCUAAAUGUGAUAUCAUAUGAUAGGGCAAUAAAAUGUUACAAGAUAAUUAAUUUAUUUAAAAACUAACUAAAUAAUUAAAUAAUGAUUAGAAUUCUCUAGAGAAUUCUUUUGUCUAUCAUCAACUCCAAACCCCCCCUCAUUUCAGCCACAAGCACGUCCUCCCCCUCUCCAUGGAAGACCAAAAGCUUAAGCUUUUUAAUUUCCGAAUAUUUGUCAUUUAAUCGGUAAAUCGAUCGGGUAAUCUUGUAUCCGCCAGCAAAUCGAGCGAAGGAGCAUAUAGUGCGUUUUGAUCACAAAGGAGUGGAUUUAGAGGGUAGAGAAGUAUCAAGGUGAAAUAGGCUUAUGUUCAUAAGCCUGCGAGGUUAGAGUCGACAUUAUGUCAGUGGUGUUGCGCAGCUUUGCAUCUUUGGCGAGUCACUGGUGGUCAACUUGGUUUAGUAGUCGUGGCAUGUUAUGUAAUAGUUUAAUCUUUAACCUUCCGCUGGAUAAAUGUUAAGUUUUUAAAUGUAAUAGAUUUUAAUUAUGCUUUUAAGCUAAAAAGAAAAAGGAAAAAUUUCAGCA